GAUUUUGGUUCUCCAGCUAUCGGACUCGGGAUUUUGAAGUCGAAGUCGCCCACACUAUCAAAGCCCCUCCCUUUUUGGUACAAUUUUGGUUGAACUUCGAAAUGGCAUGUAUAGGACUACCCUUUUUGUUGGGGGUCAUGGACCCUUUGGACUUGUAUAAUUUUGGAUAGCCAUGCGAAAAUGGCUUAUAUAUGUUUGAGUAUAAUGUUAUAAUCAUUUGGUAUGGAUAUGGUUAUUGAGAGGUGUGGAUAUGCUUAACAAGGAUUGGCCAUGGGAAUGGUUAAUCACUAUC
RNAcentral lists this long non-coding RNA (292 nucleotides) under Gossypium barbadense (sea-island cotton). RNAcentral describes it as "long non-coding RNA (GBAR_LNC004474)". The record is from RNAcentral. Lineage: Eukaryota; Viridiplantae; Streptophyta; Magnoliopsida; Malvales; Malvaceae.